Long non-coding RNA from Pelmatolapia mariae (spotted tilapia), 901 nucleotides. RefSeq lists it as uncharacterized. The transcript has 3 exons. The record is from RefSeq and is a predicted model, not a curated record. NCBI's taxonomy places the organism in Eukaryota, Metazoa, Chordata, Actinopteri, Cichliformes, Cichlidae.
UUGAGCUAAACAACAGCAGCACGUUUAAGCUUGAUCAGCUGUUGUUAGAAUUUAUUUAAUGUUACUUUCUAGUAUCAGCUGAUGUUUGCUGGAGGGAACCAUGAAGAUGAAACAAGGGGAUGUCCUUACUGAAUCAUCAGAGCUGAACAGGUGAUGGAGAAACAGGUUUACCUUUUAGGUGACAUGAAUGAGGUGAAGGGACGUUAUGAACUGUUUCUGAGAGACAAAUAACACCAGGAUCCUUUCUACGUAGCAGACAGCUGGUAACUGUGCAGGGGCGGGUCUAGCUGUCAGGAUCUGGAGACUCGACUGGAAAGUUCUAUCAGGCACCUGAGUUCCUUGGUCUCCACCCCUGGGCGGAGCCAUCAUCCCUGCUGCAGUCCUGCACACCUGAGACUGAUUCGGGGCAAUCAGGUUGAGGAUUUAAGCACCCCUCAGACUCUCCUUCACUGCCAGUUCGUCAACGACCUCACAUCUCCUGGACCUCCUUUGUCAUCACCCUCAACCUCAGCUCUCCUCGGAUUAUCUUCAUAUUCAGGAAGAAUACAAGGACCCUCACCUGCCUGCCCUCCAGCCUCACUCACCACCUCGGACACAGCGGAACUCAGGUCUGCCAGCCUUUUCCACUAUUCCCCUGGACUAUCACCGCCUCUCCCUCAAAGUGAGGUUCAUGCCGGUCACCAACGCAACCGCUCCAUCCCCGUCGCAACCUGCUAAAUCCCCGUUCACCCCCACUGACCCACGGCAACAUAGUUAGCAACACCUUGUCACGAAUUCACUUGUGGACUAAAUAAUAAACACUGUAAAACGUUUGAGCCGUCUCUGUUUGUGGUUUUCUGCAAUUGAGUCCAAUUUAGCUAUCAGCCCGUGGCCAAUGUGACACUAGCAAAGUUUUGCCAGA